AAUUUUUCUUUUAAUUCUCAUCUCAUUUCUUGAAUAUUUUUUAACUUAGUACCACAGUAAUAUAUUUAUUUAUAUCCAUAAAAUGUCACACGUUUGUACGUCCGUACGUCCGUACGUUCGUGACGUUUUUCGUAGCUCAAGAAACAGAAGAGAGACUUCAAAUAAAUUUUAGAAAUGCAGAUAAUGCAGCAGAAAGAUGCAGAAAGGGUUCUCAAGAAAAUUGGAUUGUCAAGAUGCAGCCUUACUCUGGGCCCUACAUGGGUAUUUUGUGCCUUUCCAAAAAGUUGUGAGAAAACACAAAUAGGGAAAGAAACGUUCACGAGGUUUACUAUCUUGAUAAAUUGCAAUUAAAUUACUUAUUGAUAAAUGAACUAAACUACAAAAAAUAAAAAUUAUAAAAUUAAA
Long non-coding RNA from Eupeodes corollae, 405 nucleotides. RefSeq lists it as uncharacterized. The transcript is spliced from 2 exons. The record is from RefSeq and is a predicted model, not a curated record. Lineage: Eukaryota; Metazoa; Arthropoda; Insecta; Diptera; Syrphidae.